Molecule: ribosomal RNA, 319 nt
Filed under: uncultured eukaryote
Lineage: Eukaryota
Description: partial 18S ribosomal RNA
Rfam family: Eukaryotic small subunit ribosomal RNA
Source: RNAcentral
CCCUUAGAUGUUCUGGGCAGCACGCGCGCUACAAUGGUCUUCGCAAACGGAUGCAUUCUCGAAGGAGAAUGCCAAUCUUGGAAUCUAUGCCUUGGUCGGGACAGUUGCUUGCAAUUUUUCGACUCGAACCAGGAAUUCCUUGUAAUCGUGAUUCAACACAUCACGAUGAAUACGUCCCUGCCCUUUGUACACACCGCCCGUCGCUCCUACCGAUCGAAGAGUUAGGUGAAUUGUUUUGAUCGAUAAGAUUUGACUAUGGUCAACUCUCGUUGUGAAAUUCUGUGAAUCUGACUGUUUAGAGGAAGGAAAAGUCGUAACA